This 414-nucleotide ribosomal RNA is filed under the name uncultured microorganism. Its description in RNAcentral is "bacterial SSU rRNA". It matches the Rfam family "Archaeal small subunit ribosomal RNA", at positions 459 to 872 of the family's 1478-position model. The record is from RNAcentral.
CAGCCGCCGCGGUAAUACCGGCGGCCCGAGUGGCGGUCACUAUUAUUGGGCUUAAAGCGUCCGUAGCCGGGUUGGGAAGUCCUCCGGGAAAUCUGGCCGCUUAACGGUCAGAAUGCCGGAGGAUACUCCCAGCCUAGGGAGCGGGAGAGGCCGAGGGUAUUCCCGGAGUAGGGGUGAAAUCCUAUAAUCCCAGGGGGACCGCCAGUGGCGAAGGCGCCCCGCUGGAACGGGUCCGACGGUGAGGGACGAAGGCCAGGGGAGCAAACCGGAUUAGAUACCCGGGUAGUCCUGGCUGUAAAGGAUGCGGGCUAGGUGUCGGGUGAGCUUCGGGCUCGCCCGGUGCCGUAGGGAAGCCGUUAAGCCCGCCGCCUGGGGAGUACGGCCGCAAGGCUGAAACUUAAAGGAAUUGGCGGG